ACGCUCGACACCUACGGGAGGCAGCAGUGGGGAAUAUUGCACAAUGGGGGAAACCCUGAUGCAGCGACGCCGCGUGAGCGAAGAAGUAUCUCGGUAUGUAAAGCUCUAUCAGCAGGGAAGAAGAUGACGGUACCUGACUAAGAAGCACCGGCUAAAUACGUGCAAGCAGCCGCGGUAAUCUGAGCGGGCUGGCAAGGC
Molecule: ribosomal RNA, 198 nt
Filed under: uncultured bacterium
Lineage: Bacteria
Description: partial 16S ribosomal RNA
Rfam family: Bacterial small subunit ribosomal RNA
Source: RNAcentral